This is a small nucleolar RNA of Hippopotamus amphibius kiboko, 88 nucleotides long. RefSeq annotates it as small nucleolar RNA SNORD87. The record is from RefSeq and is a predicted model, not a curated record. The transcript has a single exon. Lineage: Eukaryota; Metazoa; Chordata; Mammalia; Artiodactyla; Hippopotamidae.
ACUGGCACAGUGAUGACUUAAUUACUUUUUGCCGUUUACCCAGCUGAGGGUAUCUUUGAAGAAAUAAUGUUAAGACUGAGGUGCCAGU